GGAGAGGUGCGAGAGUGGUUGAAUCGGGCGGUCUCGAAAACCGUUGAAGGAGCAAUCUUUCCGAGGGUUCGAAUCCCUCCCUCUCCG
This 87-nucleotide transfer RNA is filed under the name Ignavibacteria bacterium. RNAcentral describes it as "tRNA-Ser". It matches the Rfam family "tRNA". From Rfam's summary of the family: Transfer RNA (tRNA) molecules are approximately 80 nucleotides in length. Their secondary structure includes four short double-helical elements and three loops (D, anti-codon, and T loops). Lineage: Bacteria; Pseudomonadati; Ignavibacteriota; Ignavibacteria. RNAcentral also lists the same sequence under 1 other name. The record is from RNAcentral.